AUGUAAGCCUAAGUAGUCAUCUUAACACUCCAUAUGAGGUUAGAGUCUGUUUAAAGAAAAGUAAGUCAUCUCUUUACGUAGCAUUUCAGAUGGCUGUAUCAUCUCGGAUGCCUGUGAAUACAGCUUUUGAACUGUGAGCCACACUCCCCUGCAGGCUGCCGGCUCCUGCCUCCGCAAGACGCCCUGAACGGAGUCUGUUUAAGUCUUCCCCAGCCAAAAGAUUACCACUCGCUGAAUGAAGUCGCAGAUGAUGGAUAGCGUUGUCGGCAAUGAAGUCUCUUUGAUUGAAGACAGAGUCUCACGAGACCGAAUUCCGAGGAAAACGGUUCUCCUCCAUUUCAUCUUCAGCACUUGUUUUCAUCACUGAAAGUGGUUAUCGGACAAGCAAGAGUAACGGAAACGGCAGAAGCAAACGGAUUCUUGCCACAGAAUCCAAAUGGCAUCACCUACCAUGGGUGCCUAGACCACCACCUCGCCCUGC
Kogia breviceps (pygmy sperm whale) is the source of this 481-nucleotide non-coding RNA. Lineage: Eukaryota; Metazoa; Chordata; Mammalia; Artiodactyla; Physeteridae. The record is from RefSeq and is a predicted model, not a curated record.